AAAUGGAUAGAUAUUUUUAAAUCCCAAUACGACUACACACCUUUCUCAAUUCCUCUUCUGCAAAUUUUGAAAUUUAUCCAUGGCUGGAACAUCAGAGACUGAUCCCAAUCUCGUCACUUCAUACCAAUUCCCGCAGGGAUGCUGCGUUAUACUAUGCGCUUGGUGUUGGAGCUUGCUCCAAAGAUGCGGUGGAUGAUAAGGAGCUCAAAUAUGUCUACCAUCACGAAUCCAUUCAGGUUUUGCCAACAUUUGCUAGUCUAUUUUCUGUUGAAUAUCUGCCAUAUUUUACACAGAUGCCGGGUUUGGCGUAAGUAAUUUUGUUGAUGUCUCUUUGCACAUUUGUUUGCCUUAUACUUUGACGGAUUGUUCAGGAAACAGAUCUUGGUUGAGUGUACUUGUUUAAAGUACUUUCUGACACCUUUCAUUUCUAGAUUUGAUCCUAGGCUCCUAUUACAUGGGCAACAGUUCAUAGAGAUAUACAAAUCUCUUCCUUCUAAUGGCUGUGUAAGGUUUUUUCUCAUCUUAUCGUAGAUCAGUAACAUGUAUUUUAGCCCUAUCUGUGCUGGCUGGAGCCUAUUAAUUCUUAUGUCUAUUUUUGAAACAGAUACUAAAUAAGGCGACAAUUUCUGGGCUGCAUGAUAAAGGUUCACUUCAAAUAUUGAACCUACCCUUCUUGAUGGGAGCUUUUUCUUAUCAUUUUCCUUGUAGUUAAUGAGUCAGGCUAGAGAUGUUUGGAACUUAUAUUGAUAACUUUUGCAAUAUUGAUAGCCCCUAGACCUAGUAUUAUAAGUAUAACACAGUAUCUACCUUUUGAGGUACACAUUAAUGAAGCAUAACUUUUCCUCUUUAUCAAAAUCUAACCUUUCUGGAAAUCCCCAUUUUGUAGGAACUGCCAUGUAGUAUAUUAGAUUUUGUCGAAAAAUUUUUCACAUUAACCCUCUCUUGUAUUAAAAAAUUUCAGGCUAUAGUAUGGUUUUGCGUUGCUUAUGAUAUUAACAUUUCUUUGCACAUGGUUGACUGCACCUUAAGGGAAAAAUCAUAUUGGAUUACCUUUCAGGCAAGUCGGCAAUUGUCGAGGUUGAAAUUUCAAGUUACGAAAAAGAGUCUGGCGUAUUACUGUGUGCAACGGUCCUCCUUUACAGACUUUCUGGUGAUUACGACCCACUGCACUCUGAUCCUAAGCAAUGUUAUCAAAUAGCGGAUAUG
Salvia splendens (bonfire salvia) is the source of this 1206-nucleotide RNA transcript. It is a transcript of the gene named enoyl-CoA hydratase 2, peroxisomal, with no coding region annotated. The transcript is spliced from 4 exons. The record is from RefSeq and is a predicted model, not a curated record. NCBI's taxonomy places the organism in Eukaryota, Viridiplantae, Streptophyta, Magnoliopsida, Lamiales, Lamiaceae.